Carassius auratus (goldfish) is the source of this 1315-nucleotide long non-coding RNA. RefSeq lists it as uncharacterized. Lineage: Eukaryota; Metazoa; Chordata; Actinopteri; Cypriniformes; Cyprinidae. The transcript is spliced from 5 exons. The record is from RefSeq and is a predicted model, not a curated record.
GGGACUACAGGACCUGGGGGGUAUUCCAGAAAGCUUGGUUAACUUACCAUUUGAUAAACUAUAACCUCUGGGUUGAUUUACCCCAAACAGGCAUACCAUGAGUAUGUCGGUUCCAAAACACCUGAGAAGAGUUAGCUUAAUCAACCUCUGACUGGUUACCCAGAGUUAAUGCGCGUGCACGGUGCAUGUAUAAAGACAUUUUCAAUGGAUCGCCGAUUUCACGAGUCACCAUGGAAACUCAAAGCGAAAAAAAGAGAGCCGCGUAUUUCACAGAGGCGGAGUUGGAAGUUUUAAUGCAUGCUUAUGAGGAGUUUAAGCCAAUAAUAUUAAAAAGAAGCAAUACAGCUGCAUCGGCUAAAGCAAGAGAGUUGGCUUGGCAAAAAAUAACGGACAGAGUAAAUGCGUGAGUGUAUUAAAUUACAAAUUUGGUAUUGGCUCCCGUUUUAUUGAAAUGCAAAAUAAUGAAGUAUGACUUAUACAUACUUUUGAAUAUGUUAAAUCACUAUGAAAGCAUUUACUUUUCCUGCCAUUUUAUUUCUUUAGCUUGAAAUAAUAAUGUAUAUUUCUUAUUUAAUAAGGUGUAAUCCUUCUGGAGCCACAAGAACUUUAAGCCAAGUCAAAAUGAAACACAAAAACAUUCUGCAAAAAGCUAACAGAAAAAAGACUGAAGCCCGUCUAACUGGCGGGGGGCCACCACCACCUCCCCUCACCCCAUCUGAGGAGCUGGCUCUGUCCCUUAAUAAAGGGCGACCAGUGGUUGCUGGCAUUCCAGGGGGCAGUUCAUCACACAUACUAUGCACCACAAGUGAUGGUGAAAAAAGGGUGAAAUGAUGAAGAUGAUGAUGACGAUGAAGAGACCACAUCUGCUGUGACAGAAGUGGACAAUGCUGGUAGAUCCACUGAGUACAUACCUAGGGAUUUGCCCACAGAUGAGGGUCCUUCAGCCUCAGCACACAAUCUAAGCAGGGUAAGAAUUUGUGUCCAUGUGUCCAUAUUUUAAUUUUAUUGUCUGACCAAACAAUCUCAUUUAUUACAUUUUUCCAAAAGGAGCUGUAUAAGGUCCAUCUUCAAAAACAAAUAAGAAAAAGUGACAUGGAGAUGGACCUUAUACAGCUUCAAAUGGAAGAGAAAAGGCUCCUCAUUAAAAAAGCAGCACUUGAAAUAGAAUUACUUGAGAAUCGCCUUAAGGAAAUGAAGAAAUAAACUGCCUGGCAGACCAGUGCAAAAAAAACUAAUAAAAGUAAUUUUGACAAAUCCUGUCUCUCAAAAGUCUUCCGUCUCUGUUGGCCUCUAAAAUCUGUCGGUGUUCCUCUGG